This is a long non-coding RNA of Saccostrea cuccullata (small rock oyster), 302 nucleotides long. RefSeq lists it as uncharacterized. The record is from RefSeq and is a predicted model, not a curated record. NCBI's taxonomy places the organism in Eukaryota, Metazoa, Mollusca, Bivalvia, Ostreida, Ostreidae. The transcript is spliced from 3 exons.
UAACUACAAUCUGCCAAAUUUUUCUUUCAAUUGUCCUCACACAGAAUGAUCAAAUUACGACAUCUUUUCUUUGCUGUGGCGAUUUUAGGACUUUUGUGUGUGGUUUGUUUGGACGGGCGAGUUCGUGAAGGUUGUUCAACAAUAAUGUGCGACCCCAGGGAACACUGUAAGUACGGCAGGGUAUGGCGAGAUAAGUGUCCAACGUGUAUAUGUAAACGAAAACCUGUACGAUAACUCAGUGAUCUGGGGUACUCGAUGCUCUGAUACAAUGAAGAUCGCGUAAAAUAAAGAUUAAUAUAUUC